This 497-nucleotide ribosomal RNA is filed under the name uncultured bacterium. RNAcentral describes it as "partial 16S ribosomal RNA". It matches the Rfam family "Bacterial small subunit ribosomal RNA", at positions 28 to 507 of the family's 1533-position model. The record is from RNAcentral.
GAUGAACGCUGGCGGCGUGCCUAAUACAUGCAAGUCGAGCGAACAGACGAGGAGCUUGCUCCUCUGACGUUAGCGGCGGACGGGUGAGUAACACGUGGAUAACCUACCUAUAAGACUGGGGUAACUUCGGGAAACCGGAGCUAAUACCGGAUAAUAUAUUGAACCGCAUGGUUCAAUAGUGAAAGACGGUUUUGCUGUCACUUAUAGAUGGAUCCGCGCCGCAUUAGCUAGUUGGUAAGGUAACGGCUUACCAAGGCCACGAUGCGUAGCCGACCUGAGAGGGUGAUCGGCCACACUGGAACUGAGACACGGUCCAGACUCCUACGGGAGGCAGCAGUAGGGAAUCUUCCGCAAUGGGCGAAAGCCUGACGGAGCAACGCCGCGUGAGUGAUGAAGGUCUUCGGAUCGUAAAACUCUGUUAUUAGGGAAGAACAAAUGUGUAAGUAACUAUGCACGUCUUGACGGUACCUAAUCAGAAAGCCACGGCUAACUACGUG